GACGAACGCUGGCGGCGUGCUUAACACAUGCAAGUCGAACGGAAAGGCCCUGCUUGCAGGGUGCUCGAGUGGCGAACGGGUGAGUAACACGUGGGUGAUCUGCCCCUUACUUUGGGAUAAGCCUGGGAAACUGGGUCUAAUACUGGAUAGGACCAUGCUGUAGGUGGUGUGGUGGAAAGAUUAGUUUCGGUAAGGGAUGAGCUCGCGGCCUAUCAGCUUGUUGGUGGGGUAAUGGCCUACCAAGGCGUCGACGGGUAGCCGGCCUGAGAGGGUGGACGGCCACAUUGGGACUGAGAUACGGCCCAGACUCCUACGGGAGGCAGCAGAGGGGAAUAUUGCACAAUGGGCGCAAGCCUGAUGCAGCGACGCCGCGGGGGGGAUGACGGCCUUCGGGUUGUAAACUCCUUUCAGCCAUGACGAAGCCCUUGUGGUGACGGUAGUGGUAGAAGAAGCACCGGCUAACUACGUG
This 469-nucleotide ribosomal RNA is filed under the name uncultured bacterium. RNAcentral's name for it is "partial 16S ribosomal RNA". It matches the Rfam family "Bacterial small subunit ribosomal RNA", at positions 28 to 507 of the family's 1533-position model. The record is from RNAcentral.